AGAGUUUGAUCCUGGCUUAGAACGAACGCUGGCGGCGCGUUUAAGCAUGCAAGUCGAGCGGCAAGGGCCUUCGGGCCCUAGAGCGGCGGACGGGUGAGUAACACGUGGACAAUCUGCCCCCCGGCCCGGGAUAGCCCAGGGAAACCUGGAUUAAUACCGGAUGAGACGGGACCCGCGAUGGCGGGAUCCGGGAAAGGCGCUGCGGCGCCGCCGGGGGAUGAGUCUGCGUCCCAUUAGCUAGACGGCGGGGUAACGGCCCACCGUGGCGACGAUGGGUAGCCGGCCUGAGAGGGUGGACGGCCACAUUGGAACUGAGACACGGUCCAGACUCCUACGGGAGGCAGCAGCUAAGAAUCUUCCGCAAUGGGCGAAAGCCUGACGGAAGCGACGCCGCGUGAACGAAGAAGGCCGUGAGGUUGUAAAGUUCUUUUCGGGAGGGGGAACAACCGUGGCAGGGAAUGGCCGCGGGAUGACGUGAAUCCCGGAAUAAGCCCCGGCUAACUACGUGCCAGCCGCCGC
RNAcentral lists this ribosomal RNA (519 nucleotides) under uncultured bacterium. RNAcentral's name for it is "bacterial SSU rRNA". It matches the Rfam family "Bacterial small subunit ribosomal RNA", at positions 8 to 518 of the family's 1533-position model. The record is from RNAcentral.